Molecule: unclassified non-coding RNA, 1086 nt
Filed under: uncultured Entoloma
Lineage: Eukaryota; Fungi; Basidiomycota; Agaricomycetes; Agaricales; Entolomataceae
Description: sequence contains ITS1, 5.8S rRNA gene and ITS2
Rfam family: 5.8S ribosomal RNA (bases 292-445)
Source: RNAcentral
AAGUCGUAACAAGGUUUCCGUAGGUGAACCUGCGGAAGGAUCAUUAUUGAAUAAACUUGGUUGGGUUGCUGCUGGCUCUCAGGAGCAUGUGCACGCUCACUCCAUUUUUUAACCACCUGUGCACAUACUGUAGGCCUGAAUGAAACUUUUUCCGAGGGAAACUCGGUUUGAGAACUGCUGCGUAAUAUCGGCUGUUCUUGCAAUUCAGGUCUAUGUUUUAUACAUUAUACUCCAAAACAAGUGAUAGAAUGUUAAUUUAUUUGGCCUUUUGUGCCUUUUAAAACUUAAUACAACUUUCAACAACGGAUCUCUUGGCUCUCGCAUCGAUGAAGAACGCAGCGAAAUGCGAUAAGUAAUGUGAAUUGCAGAAUUCAGUGAAUCAUCGAAUCUUUGAACGCACCUUGCGCUCCUUGGUAUUCCGAGGAGCAUGCCUGUUUGAGUGUCAUGAAAUUCUCAACCUUUCUGGCUUUUUAUUGAGCUGGUCAGGCUUGGAUUGUGGGAGUUGCUGGUUUCUUCUUGAGAUCGGCUCUUCUUAAAUGUAUUAGCAAAAUUCUGGCUGGACCCUUCUUUGGUAUGAUAAGUAUCUAUACCAUUGAAAAACACAGCUUUUCCACUUUAAUGGAUUUCAGGCUCUGCUUGGAUAUUACCUCCAAGUGUUCGAUUCAACCGUUCUGAAGCACCAGCUUAGGCACAGACAUUGACUUGUUUGAUGGUGUUAAAUAACUUCAGGUUGACGAAGCGAAAGUGUUUCCUUAGGGAAGUGCUCACGAGAGCAAGCAGCAUCAUCCGAUGUGUGCACUGUCAUAUUCCUGUAUCUACCCUAGCUACUAUGUAGCUUUGAUGGGUCUGGUCAAACCAUGACCUGAACAUAUCCUUAGUGGGAGGAUCUUGCUUCUAAUGUUGUUCCUAGGAACAAAAUCUUUUGACUAUUUGACCUCAAAUCAGGUAGGACUACCCGCUGAACUUAAGCAUAUCAAUAAGCGGAGGAAAAGAAACUAACAAGGAUUCCCCUAGUAACUGCGAGUGAAGCGGGAAAAGCUCAAAUUUAAAAUCUGGUAGUCUUUGGCUGCCCGAGUUGUAAUCUAG